CUACGGGACGCUGCAGUGAGGAAUAUUGGUCAAUGGCCGCAAGGCUGAACCAGCCAUGUCGCGUGAAGGAUGACUGCCCUAUGGGUUGUAAACUUCUUUUGUAUGGGAAGAAAGGUAUCUACGUGUAGAUAUUUGCCGGUACCAUACGAAUAAGGAUCGGCUAACUCCGUGCCAGCAGCCGCGGUAAUACGGAGGAUCCAAGCGUUUAUCCGGAUUUAUUGGGUUUAAAGGGUGCGUAGGUGGCUGUAUAAGUCAGGAGUGAAAUCUCGGAGCUCAACUCCGAACGUGCUAUUGAAACUGUAUAGCUUGAAUUCAGACGAGGCAGGCGGAAUGUGUAAUGUAGCGGUGAAAUGCAUAGAUAUUACACAGAACACCGAUAGCGAAGGCAGCUUGCCAGACUGCGAUUGACACUAAUGCACGAAAGCGUGGGUAGCGAACAGGAUUAGAUACCCUUGUAGUC
Molecule: ribosomal RNA, 460 nt
Filed under: uncultured bacterium
Lineage: Bacteria
Description: partial 16S ribosomal RNA
Rfam family: Bacterial small subunit ribosomal RNA
Source: RNAcentral